RNAcentral lists this ribosomal RNA (376 nucleotides) under uncultured bacterium. Its description in RNAcentral is "partial 16S ribosomal RNA". It matches the Rfam family "Bacterial small subunit ribosomal RNA", at positions 355 to 722 of the family's 1533-position model. The record is from RNAcentral.
UGGGGAAUAUUGCACAAUGGGCGCAAGCCUGAUGCAGCCAUGCCGCGUGUAUGAAGAAGGCCUUCGGGUUGUAAAGUACUUUCAGCGGGGAGGAAGGCGAUGAGGUUAAUAACCCUGUCGAUUGACGUUACCCGCAGAAGGAGCACCGGCUAACUCCGUGCCAGCAGCCGCGGUAAUACGAAGGGUGCAAGCGUUAAUCGGAAUUACUGGGCGUAAAGCGCACGCAGGCGGUCUGUUAAGUCAGAUGUGAAAUCCCCGGGCUUAACCUGGGAACUGCAUUUGAAACUGGCAGGCUUGAGUCUUGUAGAGGGGGGCUAGAAUUCCCUUGUAGCGGUGAAAUGGCGUAGAGAUCUGGAGGAAUACCGGUGGCGAAGGC